This 253-nucleotide ribosomal RNA is filed under the name uncultured bacterium. RNAcentral describes it as "partial 16S ribosomal RNA". It matches the Rfam family "Bacterial small subunit ribosomal RNA", at positions 524 to 776 of the family's 1533-position model. The record is from RNAcentral.
UACGUAGGGGGCAAGCGUUGUCCGGAAUUAUUGGGCGUAAAGCGCGUGUAGGCGGCUCGAUAAGUCUGCUGUGAAAGUCCAGGGCUCAACCCUGGAAUGCCGGUGGAUACUGUCGAGCUAGAGUCCGGAAGAGGCGAGUGGAAUUCCUGGUGUAGCGGUGAAAUGCGCAGAUAUCAGGAGGAACACCAAUGGCGAAGGCAGCUCGCUGGGACGGUACUGACGCUGAGACGCGAAAGCGUGGGGAGCGAACAGG